AUCAAAUUAGAGCUUGAUAGAAAGCUUUUCAUUUACACUGAUAGAUUUACUGUGCAAUUCAGUUAAUUUGAU
RNAcentral lists this transfer RNA (72 nucleotides) under Uropetala carovei. RNAcentral describes it as "tRNA-Val". Lineage: Eukaryota; Metazoa; Arthropoda; Insecta; Odonata; Petaluridae. The record is from RNAcentral.